GAUGAACGCUAGCGAUAGGCUUAACACAUGCAAGUCGAGUGGCAGCACAAGGUAGCUUGCUAUCUGGGUGGCGACCGGCGCACGGGUGCGUAACGCGUAUGCAACUUGCCCUAUACAGGAGGAUAACCCGUCGAAAGACGGACUAAUACUGCGUAUGCUCACAACUUGGCAUCAAGUGGUGAGGAAAGAAAUUCGGUAUAGGAUAGGCAUGCGUCCCAUUAGCUUGUUGGUGAGGUAACGGCUCACCAAGGCAACGAUGGGUAGGGGAACUGAGAGGUUUACCCCCCACGCAGGUACUGAGACACGGACCAUACCCCUACGGGAGGAAGCAGUGAGGAAUAUUGGUCGAUGGGCGCGACCCUGAACCAGCCAAGUCGCGUGAAGGAGGACUGUCUUAUGGAUUGUAAACUUCUUUUAUACGGGAAUAACAAGAGUCACGUGUGACUCCCUGCAUGUACCGUAUGAAUAAGCAUCGGCUAACUCCGUG
RNAcentral lists this ribosomal RNA (487 nucleotides) under uncultured bacterium. RNAcentral describes it as "partial 16S ribosomal RNA". It matches the Rfam family "Bacterial small subunit ribosomal RNA", at positions 28 to 507 of the family's 1533-position model. The record is from RNAcentral.